Molecule: long non-coding RNA, 350 nt
Organism: Monomorium pharaonis (pharaoh ant)
Lineage: Eukaryota; Metazoa; Arthropoda; Insecta; Hymenoptera; Formicidae
Exons: 2
Source: RefSeq, a predicted model, not a curated record
CUAAACCAUGAUCAAAUAAUUCCCCUAAGGGGCCAGAAGUUUGUGUGCGUCUUGCCUGCUUUCCAUCUAUCCCGUCUGCAAUUAUAACAAUUAUUCUUUAAAUUCUACUUGUUAAUAUUAAAUCUACAUAUGAAGCAAAUACACAUACCAAGCGUAUAUGCCAUAAAAAUGUUAAAAGCAGCCAUGGCAAAGACCCAUCGUGCUAUCGGAGGGUAUUCCGGCUUGUCAUCACUGGAUGCGUAAAAAUAGUAGUCGUAAAUCGCAAAUAGCAUAAAGUUUAGCACAGUAAAAAGGAAUCCCGAGAAAGUUAGUACGUUUGGAGCAAUCCAUUUUGGACAAUACUAAAACAA